GACAGAGGGUGCAAACGUUGUUCGGAAUUACUGGGCGUAAAGCGCGUGUAGGCGGCUAAGUAAGUCGGGCGUGAAAUCCCACGGCUCAACCGUGGAAGUGCACUCGAAACUGCAUAGCUAGAGUCCUGGAGAGGAAGGUGGAAUGCUUGGUGUAGAGGUGAAAUUCGUAGAUAUCAAGCGGAACACCGAUGGCGAAGGCAGCCCCCUGGGUCGACACUGACGCUCAGGCACGAAAGCGUGGGGAGCAAACAGG
RNAcentral lists this ribosomal RNA (253 nucleotides) under uncultured bacterium. RNAcentral describes it as "partial 16S ribosomal RNA". It matches the Rfam family "Bacterial small subunit ribosomal RNA", at positions 524 to 776 of the family's 1533-position model. The record is from RNAcentral.